CGACNGGUCACACUGUGACUGAGACACGGCCCAGACUCCUGCGGGAGGCAGCAGAGGGGAAUAUUGCGCAAUGGGCGGAAGCCUGACGCAGCGACGCCGCGUGAGGGAUGACGGCCUUCGGGUUGUAAACCUCUUUCAGCACAGACCAAGGCUCAGUUUUUGCUGGGUUGAGUGUAUGUGCAGAAGAAGCACCGGCUAACUACGUGCCAGCAGCCBCGGUAAUACGUAGGGUGCUAGCGUUGUCCGGAUUUAUUGGGCGUAAAGGGCUCGUAGGCGGUUUGUCGCGUCGGGUGUGAAAUCCUACUGCUUAACGGUGGGCUUGCAUUCGGUACGGGCAGACUAGAGUGUGGCAGGGGAGACUGGAAUUCCUGGUGUAGCGGUGGAAUGCGCAGAUAUCAGGAGGAACACCGGUGGCGAAGGCGGGUCUCUGGGCCAUUACUGACGCUGAGGAGCGAAAGCGUGGGGAGCGAACAGGAUUAGAUACCCUGGUAGUCCACGCUGUAAACGUUGGGCGCUAGGUGUGGGGACUGUUCCACGGUUUCCGUGCCGUAGCUAACGCAUUAAGCGCCCCGCCUGGGGAGUACGGCCGCAAGGCUAAAACUCAAAGGAAUUGACGGGGGCCCGCACAAGCGGCGGAGCAUGCGGCUUAACUCGAUGCAACGCGAAGAACCUUACCAGGGCUUGACAUGCACGGUUUACUCGCAGAGAUGCGGGGUCCUUUGGGGCCGUGUAGCAGGUGGUGCAUGGUUGUCGUCAGCUCGUGUCGUGAGAUGUUGGGUUAAGUCCCGCAACGAGYGCAACCCUUGUCCUGUGUUGCCAGCACGCACUUAGGUGUGGUGGGGACUCGUGGGAGACUGCCGGGGUCAACUCGGAGGAAGGUGGGGACGACGUCAAAUCAUCAUGCCCCUUAUGUCCUGGGCUGCACGCAUGCUACAAUGGCCGGUACAAAGGGCUGCGAUACCGUGAGGUGGAGCNAAUCCCAUAAAGCCGGUCUCAGUUCGGAUCGGGGUCUGCAACUCGACCCCGUGAAGUYGGAGUCGCUAGUAAUCGCAGAUYAGA
RNAcentral lists this ribosomal RNA (1059 nucleotides) under uncultured actinomycete. RNAcentral describes it as "bacterial SSU rRNA". It matches the Rfam family "Bacterial small subunit ribosomal RNA", at positions 301 to 1353 of the family's 1533-position model. The record is from RNAcentral. Lineage: Bacteria; Bacillati; Actinomycetota; Actinomycetes; Actinomycetales.